RNAcentral lists this microRNA precursor (64 nucleotides) under Xenopus laevis (African clawed frog). RNAcentral describes it as "Xla-Novel-22_pre stem-loop". The record is from RNAcentral. Lineage: Eukaryota; Metazoa; Chordata; Amphibia; Anura; Pipidae.
AAGCAGUGUGCAGGGUUGUUUUUUAAUACUAACUCAAUGAGGAACAAACCUGCACACUGCUAUC